AGCUCCAUUAGCGUAUAUUAAAGUUGUUGCAGUUAAAAAGCUCGUAGUUGGAUUUCUGGGUUCUUCGCUAGCUUUGGUCCGCAAGGGCUUCAGUGGGCUGUUUGAAUCCAUCCUCAGGGGGACCCAUGCUGGUAUUCAUUUAUCGGUGUGGGAACGCCUGUCGUUUACUGUGAACAAAUUAGAGUGUUCAAAGCAAGGUGUACUUGAAUACAUUAGCAUGGAAUAAUAAGAUAGGACUUUGGUGGUUCUUUCGAGAUAUUUUGUUGGUUUGCACGCCAAAGUAAUGAUUAAUAGGAGCAGUUGGGGGUAUUCGUAUUCAAUUGUCAGAGGUGAAAUUCUUGGAUUUAUAGAAGACGAACUACUGCGAAAGCAUUUACCAAGGAUGUUUUCAUUAAUCAAG
This 400-nucleotide ribosomal RNA is filed under the name phytoplankton environmental sample. RNAcentral describes it as "partial small subunit ribosomal RNA". It matches the Rfam family "Eukaryotic small subunit ribosomal RNA", at positions 587 to 981 of the family's 1831-position model. The record is from RNAcentral.